Molecule: long non-coding RNA, 456 nt
Organism: Rana temporaria (common frog)
Lineage: Eukaryota; Metazoa; Chordata; Amphibia; Anura; Ranidae
Exons: 2
Source: RefSeq, a predicted model, not a curated record
GUGUUAAUUGUGUAACAUCUUCUCCAGGAACAAUAAAAGAUCUUUGCAUUUGCAGAUCUGAGCUUUCAUCUUACCAUUGAAACUAUGAAGGAAUGCUAAGGGUCAUGCAAAAGGGCCAGUGACUCUGAAAUAUCAGAUUGGACUCACUCUGCAAGCAAAUUGGACUCUGCAUGGAACCACAGACCAGAAAAACAUUACUUAAAUCCAUUUUUAUCCAGUAUAUCAAAAGAAAAAUGUGAUGACAUGAGUUGCACUUCCCAGGAAUCACACACCUACACUGGUGUUUUUCAUUUAUUCCAAUAUUUAACAUAACUUGAUUGGUGGUAGUGGACUCUAUUAUCUUUUUAUCCAAUGUGUUGUGACUGUCAUUUUUCGCAAUGCUGUGAACAAGACUUGUGCCGAAACGUGUUAGUUGUCAAUUUUAACCUGGAUAUGAAAUAAAGAUCGCAGAUGGAA